RNAcentral lists this ribosomal RNA (461 nucleotides) under uncultured bacterium. Its description in RNAcentral is "bacterial SSU rRNA". It matches the Rfam family "Bacterial small subunit ribosomal RNA", at positions 337 to 796 of the family's 1533-position model. The record is from RNAcentral.
UUCUACGGGAGGCAGCAGUGAGGAAUAUUGGUCAAUGGGGGGAACCCUGAACCAGCCAAGUAGCGUGGAGGAUGACGGCCCUACGGGUUGUAAACUCCUUUUAUGCGGGGGUAAUGUACGCCACGUGUGGUGUAUUGCAAGUACCGCAUGAAUAAGCAUCGGCUAACUCCGUGCCAGCAGCCGCGGUAAUACGGAGGAUGCGAGCGUUAUCCGGAUUUAUUGGGUUUAAAGGGAGCGUAGGCGGGCUGUUAAGUCAGCGGUAAAAUCGUACGGCUCAACCGUGCCGUGCCGUUGAAACUGGCAGUCUUGAGAGUACAAGAGGCGGAUGGAAUUCAGGGUGUAGCGGUGAAAUGCUUAGAUAUCCUGAAGAACUCCGAUUGCGAAGGCAGUCCGCUGGGGUACAUCUGACGCUGAUGCUCGAAGGUGCGGGAAUCAAACAGGAUUAGAUACCCUGGUAGUCC